AUUGAACGCUAGCGGGAUGCUUUACACAUGCAAGUCGAACGGAGUGGCAAACGGGUGAGAACGCGUAAGUAACCUACCUCUAAGUGGGGGAUAGCUUCGGGAAACUGAAGGUAAUACCGCAUGCUUGGUGAGGGGCUUGCGUCCGGUUAGCUAGUUGGUGGGGUAAUGGCCUACCAAGGCUUCGAUCGGUAGCUGGUCUGAAGGAUGAUCAGCCACACUGGGACUGAGAACCGGCCCAGACUCCUCCGGGAGGCAGCAGCAGGGAAUCAUGGGAAUGGGCGAAAGCCUGACCCCGCAACGCCGCGUGAGGGAUGAAGGCUUUCAGGUUGGAAACCUCUUUUCACAGGGAAGCGGUACCUGUGGAAUAAGCUUCGGCUAACUACGUGCCAGCAGCCGCGGUAAUUC
Molecule: ribosomal RNA, 405 nt
Filed under: uncultured bacterium
Lineage: Bacteria
Description: partial 16S ribosomal RNA
Rfam family: Bacterial small subunit ribosomal RNA
Source: RNAcentral